GCCCCCCUGCUCCCGUUUCUCUCCCCUCAGGCACAUGGCGCAGCAGGAGGCCAAGAGGCCCGUGGAGGCCAGCACGGGUGCCGUGAAGCGGCUGUCUGAGCUCCUGUAGGGCGGCCCUGGCAGGAGCUUCUCCAGCUGGAGCAGCUGGAAAACCAGCUGUCAGACGCCAUUCAACGCUACGGCCUUGUGCAAAAGGUGAGGACCCCUGCGGGAUGCCGGGAGGGGUGGGGUCACACUCGCUGGCUCAUCCUUGGCCCAAGC
RNAcentral lists this long non-coding RNA (261 nucleotides) under Dasypus novemcinctus (nine-banded armadillo). Its description in RNAcentral is "lncRNA (ENSDNOG00000050209.1)". The record is from RNAcentral. Lineage: Eukaryota; Metazoa; Chordata; Mammalia; Cingulata; Dasypodidae.